AGAAAGUCUAAUCAACGGAAAAUGAAGAGAAGAGGAAAACAGUGUUAAUCUUUAUGAAUUAUGAUGAGAGCUCUUUUAGCCUUUUACCUAAACAACAAGAAAUGUCAAUUUUAUCAUGCCAUUCGGCCGAAAAGUAAGUUUCAACCCCUUUCUACACUCCUCUCAAGUCCUAAUCCUAUUCAAACAUUUCAAAUUUUGAAUCUUUUUCCAAACAUCUCGCCUUUUUCUUGUUUUGAAAAACAAA
This 244-nucleotide unclassified non-coding RNA is filed under the name Hevea brasiliensis (rubber tree). The record is from RNAcentral. Lineage: Eukaryota; Viridiplantae; Streptophyta; Magnoliopsida; Malpighiales; Euphorbiaceae.